GACCGGGCAAGAGGAAUAUCAUGAUGCUACGAAGAGGCAGAGAUUCUUAAAGGCUGAACAGAACAGGACUGCGCUCUCCUUUAGGAAUGUGGAAAAAAACCAAAGUUUAAAGGGAACGUCAGACUUUGAUGUGCUGAUAAACAACAGAACUGAUGUGACGGUAACCGCAUUGAUCUUUGGUGUUAGGAAUCCUCCAGCAGAUAAGAAGACCAACCUUGAAGAUGUCAGCAAGAUGGUGGCUGGCAAAAUGGUGAGCUCUAUCUGAACUGUUAUCUCUGGAGAGGACAUCUCUCUGAGGGAUGUCACCAUUGAGGAUGAGGGGUCUCUGUGACACUUUCUCUCUGGAUGGAGGCAGACACUCUUCCACCAAAGGACCUUCUGAAAAAGUUUGCAGGAGCUUCCUGUGAACAGGAGCCCACUGCUACUGCAAUUCUCAAAAAAGAAGAGGGAUCCUUGCUGGACAUUUAUAAGAAUUAACAAAGCUGCGUCUUUGUUUCUCCUGUGACGGUUAACAGUUGUUUGUCACGGCCGCGCUCUGUUCCCCUGUGUUUCAGCGUGUCCUAGUGUGUGUCUCAGUAAUUUUCCGUUAUGUGUCUGUAAUUUGUAGCUCCGCCCUUGUUACCUGUCUCCCCAGGUGUUCAUUGUUUUGUGUUAGUAUAUAUAGUACCCUUUUGUCUAUGUAAUUCCGUCGGUCUUUGCACCUUCCUACGUUGUCUGUCUCGUCACGUCUUAGCUUAGUUUUGCCACGUAUCGUAUUAGCUCUUCUCCACGUUUCUAGUUCUUUGUUUAGUUUGUAUUAUUUGUUUAUAUCUCUUGUUUGUUUAUAUUCCUUGUUUUGUACAUAUUUACAUAUUUACCCUUGUAUAUAUUCCCUAGCCCUGUUUUGUUAUUAUCUGUUUAACUUAGCUCUGUGUUGGUUUUCCCUGUUUGUUUAUGUACAUUUACUUAUUCAUUAUUCCCCUGUUUGUUUGUUUGUUUACUUAUUAUUCAAUAAAGUCUGUCUUUCCCGCUUUUACAUCCGCCUCCAGUCUGCUCCCAGUGUUACAUUGUUCAGUGUUCAGGUUAUGUAACCAGUGCAGGAGAUGCCACUGUGUUGUAAAAAAUUAAAACAAUGGUUAUUCAAGGGUUCUUUAAAUAAAAUGUGUAUAUAUACACACACACACACACACACAC
Long non-coding RNA from Astyanax mexicanus (Mexican tetra), 1173 nucleotides. RefSeq lists it as uncharacterized. NCBI's taxonomy places the organism in Eukaryota, Metazoa, Chordata, Actinopteri, Characiformes, Acestrorhamphidae. The record is from RefSeq and is a predicted model, not a curated record. The transcript has 3 exons.